Molecule: ribosomal RNA, 405 nt
Filed under: uncultured bacterium
Lineage: Bacteria
Description: bacterial SSU rRNA
Rfam family: Bacterial small subunit ribosomal RNA
Source: RNAcentral
ACUCCUACGGGAGGCAGCAGUGGGGAAUCUUAGACAAUGGGCGCAAGCCUGAUCUAGCCAUGCCGCGUGAGUGAUGAAGGCCCUAGGGUCGUAAAGCUCUUUCGCCAGGGAUGAUAAUGACAGUACCUGGUAAAGAAACCCCGGCUAACUCCGUGCCAGCAGCCGCGGUAAUACGGAGGGGGUUAGGCGUUGUUCGGAAUUACUGGGGCGUAAAGCGCACGUAGGCGGAUCAGAAAGUUGGGGGUGAAAUCCCGGGGCUCAACCCCGGAACUGCCUUCAAAACUCCUGGUCUAGAGUUCGAGAGAGGUGAGUGGAAUUCCGAGUGUAGAGGUGAAAUUCGUAGAUAUUCGGAGGAACACCAGUGGCGAAGGCGGCUCACUGGCUCGAUACUGACGCUGAGGUGCG